This 468-nucleotide ribosomal RNA is filed under the name uncultured bacterium. RNAcentral's name for it is "partial 16S ribosomal RNA". It matches the Rfam family "Bacterial small subunit ribosomal RNA", at positions 28 to 507 of the family's 1533-position model. The record is from RNAcentral.
GACGAACGCUGGCGGCGGGCUUAACACAUGCAAGUCGAACGGAAAGGCCCUGCUUGUGUGGGGUGCUCGAGUGGCGAACGGGUGAGUAACACGUGAGUAACCUGCCCUUGACUUUGGGAUAACUUCAGGAAACUGGGGCUAAUACCAGAUAGGAGCUGCUGCUGCGGGGAGGGGGUUGGAAAGUUUCGGCGGGUGGGGAUGGACGGGCGGCUGAUCAGCUUGUUGGUGGGGUAGUGGCUUACCAAGGCUUGGACGGGUAGCCGGCCUGAGAGGGUGACCGGCCACAUGGGGACUGAGAUACGGAGCAGACUCCUACGGGAGGCAGCAGUGGGGAAUAUUGCCCAAUGGGCGGAAGCCUGAUGCAGCAACGCCGCGUGCGGGAUGACGGCCUUCGGGUUGUAAACCGCUUUCGCCUGUGACGAAGCGUGAGUGACGGUAAUGGGUAAAGAAGCACCGGCUAACUACGCG